UGGUGCGAUCAUACCAGCACUAAUGCACCGGAUCCCAUCAGAACUCCGCAGUUAAGCGUGCUUUGGCGAGAGUAGUACUAGGAUGGGUGACCUCCUGUGAAGUCCUCGUGUUGCACCAC
Molecule: ribosomal RNA, 119 nt
Filed under: Corchorus olitorius
Lineage: Eukaryota; Viridiplantae; Streptophyta; Magnoliopsida; Malvales; Malvaceae
Source: RNAcentral